Long non-coding RNA from Spinacia oleracea (spinach), 3160 nucleotides. RefSeq lists it as uncharacterized. The transcript has 6 exons. Lineage: Eukaryota; Viridiplantae; Streptophyta; Magnoliopsida; Caryophyllales; Amaranthaceae. The record is from RefSeq and is a predicted model, not a curated record.
AUUUGGUGAGCGCACUCUACUAUUCAUCUCUGUUCUCAACUGCAAAUUCCCUAAAACCGUGAGAAAGCCUUAUAAGGCGACACCGAUACACCGCAAAGAAACCUUCAAGGCUUAUCGCUGCUGCUCAAGAACAACGGCGAAAUCAACACCGAUUCUCCGCCUAGGCUUAUAUUAAUAUCGAAUUAUAUGCUCGAGUUUCUGUUGCUGUGCUCUGUUACAAGCUAGCCGAGGUAGUUAAGAUGGCUGCGUCCGGAAGAGAAACUAAUGAGAGUCGUUCUGCCAUUGAAUCUGGAAAGAUGUUUCUUUUGGAGCUUCUUGACUCUGCGAUAAUGUUCUUUUAUUGAAUUGGGGAACAUGAGCACAAGAUAAAGUGGUGGACAUGACCAAUUUUUAUAUGGAUUGGGGAAUAAUGCUGCAAAGUCUUAGGUCAUGAUCAAGAUUAUCAUCCAGGAAAGAGGAAGCGAGGCAAAGAUUAUGAGGGAAUGAUAAGGUGCACACUUUCCAUACAACAAAUAAGAACUGGCCUCUUGACAAAAAUGCUUACUGGCUACAACUACUGGUACGUUCAUCAGUUUAUUGAAUUGAAAACCGUAGUUUAUAGUGCUUCACAGUGGAUACCAAGAGACUUGCACCGAGUUAGUGGUCCAUCAGAGCUUAUAAAUAGAAGUGUUCCAGCAGUCUAUACAUGCUACAAGAAUUGCUCCUUGUGAUCUUUAAUAUGUUCAGGUGCUCAUGUAAAAGAGUGAUGAAAGAAAUUCAAGCUUGUCUUUUUUUUUUUUUCGAUUGAGGGAGGCAGAUCAAAGGUAACAAAGAUUGAUUUGAAUGACAAAGAAAAAGAAAAAAGAGUUUUAGAGUAAUUGAUAAGGACAGAGUUAAAAUUUAGGAAUGAGUUAAGGAAGUAAAAAUCCAUAUAGAAACUUACUUCCAGUGUAUAUAAAAAAAACUCACUUAUCAACAAACCUAUAGAAUCAAAUCAUCAAGUUUAUGCUAGUCUCACAUACCAAAUGUAAUAUUUUGAGACAAUACAUGUAUAAAAUCUAACAAUAAGCCAAUCACGAGAUAAAGAGUUUUGUAGAUGAUGUACAGUCAAAUUUUGAUAAUUAAACCUAUAACAUUUAUCAAUUAACAUACCAGAACAAUCAAACAAAAUCAGUGAACUAAAGCAAAAGAAUUGAAGUUAAAAUAAGUAUUUUCUUAUAAGCUGGAACAGGUACACACACACACAAUGUGAGGAGUCUAGCCGUCUAGGUUGAUCGAGGUAUCUUGAGCUUUCCCCCUGGAUAGGAUUUUUAUAGGGUGUUUUUUUCCCUUAUUUAUGUACUUUUUAGUAAUCAGUUAUCACCUGACUAUCCUUACAGCAAUUUACAUCCGUAAAGAAUUGCUGUAAUUGACCAGUGUUCAACGAAAUUUAAAAUCACUGAAUUUCUUUUGCUUACAGUGUGGUAGUUCUUGAUUCUUCUCUCUUCCUCGGUGACCCUAUUUCCUUCCGGGAGAAGGAUUCAUUGCAUCUGGAAUCGUGGAUACCUCUUAAAGACAUGAAUGUUGCUAGAACUAAUCAUCUCUUUGGAAAUAAUUUUUUAUUUAUAACACAGCGGUGAUUGAUUGUGUUGCUUAUUCUUUAGCUGACUAGGUGACAUGCAGGUGCAUCCUUCUUCUGUUCUGUAUCUGUCUCUGCACUGUUGUGAAUAACUGGCUCGCUGCCCAUCUAUGUUACCCUUACACACUAGUUAGUCUGAAAGCAUGUGUCCGGCAUUCUAGAAUGUACCUUUAUCUAUCUGUAUGACUUGGUAAUGGUUAUUGAUAGCUCUUCAUAGUUGUAUUUCCACUAACUAAACUUUCUGUAGGUGAGGUACAGGGAUCAUACCAAAUUAAAGUUACUACAACUGCUUUGGCUCUUUUGCUGUCUACCAGGCAUGUUGAAUUGGCAAAAAACUUUGUUCAAGGUCAUUUGAUUCAGGUUUGAAUUCUUAUCCUAAACGUAUUCGCAGAGUUACUGUAUGUAACUCUCAAGAGCUGACUGUCUAUCAUGUGAAGAGCGUUGUAGGAAUAACAACGCGUUCAAAAGCUAAAUCAGCUCCCGAUCAGUGGACCGUGAUGGCUGUAGUUGGGUGAUGGGUGUGAUCGACAAUCCCUUCUAUGAAUUUGCAUUAGUUCUGAUGUAUCCGGCAAUGAGAAGAAUACUGUCAACAUUGUGUGCAUUUAAGGUGUUAUAGUCAUUCUUGGUCAACCAAAGCGUUCAUUUUUCUUGUGUGUGGCUUGUUGUGUGUAAGAGAGUAACAAGUAAGCAUAAUGUAGAAAGUCUAUAAUGAGUCAAAUUAGCAUCUUUCUUAUACUAUCAAUGCCCAGAACCAAUAAAAAAGAGGAAGAUUUAGUCAUUUUGUGUGUGUUCCUGUAAGUGAGUUGCUUCCUUUAUGCAUAAUAUUUCUAACAACUACAACAAAAUCUACCCAGCUUAGACUUGCUUCUGGUAAGUGUAACAGGAGUAUUCAGAGAAAGUAUUAAUGGAACUACAAUUAGUAAAUAUAUCAUUGGGUGGAGGAAAUAUGAAGUAAGAAUAAUUUUUGCAAACACUGAUCAUUUUUAUUUCGUUGUUGUGAUUUUUUCAAGCGGCAUAUUUACCUUGAAUCUUACUCAAAGUUGUUUUGUUUAGGUGUGUUGUUCUUGUGAGUGCUGAUAGUACUGACAGUGUUCAGUUCUGGGAUAUUAAGCAUGGAACACUGUUGCAGGCUCAUUCCCUUCACAAAGGCGAUUCGUACGCUUUAGCUGCUGCCCCUUCCCACGAUAGGGUGUUUUCUGCCGGUUCUGAUGGCAAGCAACUGUUCCCAAAUCUUCAAGUGUAGCCAUGCCUCCCUCGUAGCAGUAUUAAGCACCUAUUCCAUAGUUCAGAAAAUGAUUUAGUGUUUGCUGGUACCAUUAAAGACGUUAACCGAAGGUAAAGUGAAGUAUGUAUACUAAGGAAAAUAGCCAAAUUAUAUGGAGCAGCAAAAUAUUGUGGAUGUCUUUGAUAUUAUGGAAGUUAACUACUGUAUUUUGAUUUUAGAGAUUUUAGAGAUACAAAAUAACAUUGACUUAUUUUCUGUAAACAAAUUGGUGUUUUGUUUUAUGCAAAUACUUUUGUGGUAACAAUUAUGAAAUCAAUGAAAGUUUUUGCUUAAGACUA